RNAcentral lists this transfer RNA (71 nucleotides) under Candidatus Woesearchaeota archaeon. RNAcentral describes it as "tRNA-Gly". It matches the Rfam family "tRNA". From Rfam's summary of the family: Transfer RNA (tRNA) molecules are approximately 80 nucleotides in length. Their secondary structure includes four short double-helical elements and three loops (D, anti-codon, and T loops). Lineage: Archaea; Nanobdellati; Candidatus Woesearchaeota. The record is from RNAcentral.
GCACCAGUAGUUUAGGGGUAAAAUCACGGCCUUCCAAGCCGUUGUCCUGGGUUCGAAUCCCAGCUGGUGCA